Amphimedon queenslandica is the source of this 1210-nucleotide long non-coding RNA. RefSeq lists it as uncharacterized. The transcript has 7 exons. NCBI's taxonomy places the organism in Eukaryota, Metazoa, Porifera, Demospongiae, Haplosclerida, Niphatidae. The record is from RefSeq and is a predicted model, not a curated record.
GUGUCCUAAGUGUCAUUCAGACAUUCACUAUUGACACACCCAUUGACUCUUGAUGGCUCAGAUAGAGUUUGAAAAGGGAACUGGUACCUUUCCAUAUUUCAUAGUCCUUCUGUAUGGGAUAUUCCUACUAGUUAUAACUUCCUUUGGCCUAAGAGCAAGAAAAGAGAUGACAGAGGGAGUGAGUGCCAGUGUGGGCCAUGUUGUCAGAAAAGAAAUAAAGUGGAGAAGAGACGGACUAUAGAUAAACUAUUAAAAAUAAUACGGCAAAUAUCAAUGAUAUCAUUUAUAUCAAUUACCGGUAGUAUAGCAAAGAAUUUUGUGGCCCAAGAGUUGCGUGAAUUUUGCUUUUUUUCGAAAUUCAUAGACAAUAAAAUCUGCGAAAAUUGAUUCAAUACGGUUCAAAAAGGUUGAAAAGUAGAAAUCUGCAAAAAUUAAAGAGGCAAAGUUGUUUUUUCGAAAUGAUUUGUAAUAUUUUGGGCAAUGAAAAUUUUCCGCUAUACAAUAUUGCAUUAGUAUUGGUCAUGUACUGUAAUGAUUGUCUAUAAUUAUAAGUUAGUCUCUUGUUUGUUUGUUUGUUAUUUAGUAUUAUUGGUGUGCUGGUUGUUCUUACUUUGAUUGAUUUAUUGGGCAGUGACACAAGAGCCAGUUGGUGAAUCUGAAGAAUGGGAUCCAUUUAAAACACUAGUGAUUGACAAGGGAGCUACUGUAUCUCAGAUAAACUUGAUGUUGAUGAGAUGUUGCUGGUGAACUUGAAGCCUCUAUAGCAAAAUAUAAAGAAGAAUAUGCAAUGGUUAUAUCUGAUGCUAGUGUUAUUAAGAAUGAUUUAUCAACUGUUGAGAAAAAGGUGAGUUCUUCCUUUGUUUGCGUCACCUUGAGAAGAGUCUCCUCACUGCAUUGAACGAGGUCAAGGGUCGUAUCCUAGACAACAACAGAAUCAUUACUGAGCUUGAGACUCUUAAGGAAGAGGCUGCAGAAGUUCAGAGGAAGAUGGAGGAGACUGAUACUGUAAUGGCUGAAGUUGACAGAGUCUCCCAGCAAUACCUGCCUCUCUCCACCUCCUGCUCUGCCAUGUACUUCACUCUGGAGUCACUCAAUCAGGUUCAUUUCUUGUACCAGUAUUCCUUGCAGUUCGACUGACUGGGGAAGGAAACCACUGUCUCACAGGUACAGUAUGCUGUAGUGGGCAUUGAAUACUGUAUUAUUUGGGAGG